RNAcentral lists this ribosomal RNA (309 nucleotides) under uncultured bacterium. Its description in RNAcentral is "bacterial SSU rRNA". It matches the Rfam family "Bacterial small subunit ribosomal RNA", at positions 28 to 334 of the family's 1533-position model. The record is from RNAcentral.
GAUGAACGCUAGCGGCAGGCCUAACACAUGCAAGUCGAACGGUAACAUGAGAGCUUGCUCUUGAUGACGAGUGGCGCACGGGUGCGUAACGCGUAUGGAACUUACCCCAAACUGGAGAAUAGCCUUUAGAAAUGAAGAAUAAUACUCCAUAGUAUUCCGAGAAGGCAUCUUCUUGGUCUUAAAGCUUCGGCGGUUUGGGAUAGCCAUGCGUUCUAUUAGUUAGUUGGUGAGGUAACGGCUCACCAAGACCGCGAUAGAUAGGGGGCCUGAGAGGGUUGUCCCCCACACUGGUACUGAGACACGGACCAG